UAACACAUGCAAGUCGAACGGAAAGGCCCUGCUUUUGUGGGGUGCUCGAGUGGCGAACGGGUGAGUAACACGUGAGUAACCUGCCCUUGACUUUGGGAUAACUUCAGGAAACUGGGGCUAAUACCGGAUAGGAGCUCCUGCUGCAUGGUGGGGGUUGGAAAGUUUCGGCGGUUGGGGAUGGACUCGCGGCUUAUCAGCUUGUUGGUGGGGUAGUGGCUUACCAAGGCUUUGACGGGUAGCCGGCCUGAGAGGGUGACCGGCCACAUUGGGACUGAGAUACGGCCCAGACUCCUACGGGAGGCAGCAGUGGGGAAUAUUGCACAAUGGGCGGAAGCCUGAUGCAGCAACGCCGCGUGCGGGAUGACGGCCUUCGGGUUGUAAACCGCUUUCGCCUGUGACGAAGCGUGAGUGACGGUAAUGGGUAAAGAAGCACCGGCUAACUACGUGCCAGCAGCCGCGGUGAUACGUAGGGUGCGAGCGUUGUCCGGAUUUAUUGGGCGUAAAGGGCUCGUAGGUGGUUGAUCGCGUCGGAAGUGUAAUCUUGGGGCUUAACCCUGAGCGUGCUUUCGAUACGGGUUGACUUGAGGAAGGUAGGGGAGAAUGGAAUUCCUGGUGGAGCGGUGGAAUGCGCAGAUAUCAGGAGGAACACCAGUGGCGAAGGCGGUUCUCUGGGCCUUUCCUGACGCUGAGGAGCGAAAGCGUGGGGAGCGAACAGGCUUAGAUACCCUGGUAGUCCACGCUGUAAACGGUGGGUACUAGGUGUGGGGUCCAUUCCACGGGUUCCGUGCCGUAGCUAACGCUUUAAGUACCCCGCCUGGGGAGUACGGCCGCAAGGCUAAAACUCAAAGGAAUUGACGGGGCCCCGCACAAGCGGCGGAGCAUGCGGAUUAAUUCGAUGCAACGCGUAGAACCUUACCUGGGUUUGACAUGGAUCGGGAGUGCUCAGAGAUGGGUGUGCCUCUUUUGGGGUCGGUUCACAGGUGGUGCAUGGCUGUCGUCAGCUCGUGUCGUGAGAUGUUGGGUUAAGUCCCGCAACGAGCGCAACCCUUGUUCACUGUUGCCAGCACGUUAUGGUGGGGACUCAGUGGAGACCGCCGGGGUCAACUCGGAGGAAGGUGGGGAUGACGUCAAGUCAUCAUGCCCCUUAUGUCCAGGGCUUCACGCAUGCUACAAUGGCUGGUACAGAGAGUGGCGAGCCUGUGAGGGUGAGCGAAUCUCGGAAAGCCGGUCUCAGUUCGGAUUGGGGUCUGCAACUCGACCUCAUGAAGUCGGAGUCGCUAGUAAUCGCAGAUCAGCAACGCUGCGGUGAAUACGUUCCCGGGGCUUGUACACACCGCCCGUCAAGUCAUGAAAGUUGGUAACACCCGAAGCCGGUGGCCUAACCGUUGUGGGGGAGCCGUCGAAGGUGGGACUGGUGAUUAGG
This 1423-nucleotide ribosomal RNA is filed under the name uncultured organism. Its description in RNAcentral is "16S ribosomal RNA". It matches the Rfam family "Bacterial small subunit ribosomal RNA". The record is from RNAcentral.